AAAAAACCCUAAUUUUAUCAUUUACUCAAAUUCUUCUUUUUAUGGUUAAUUACUUGUUUUUUUUGUUAAUUAAUGUAUUGCACUAGCACUAGCCGUAAUGGGAGUAUCUUUUUAUGGUUAGUUACUUGCUUUUGUUGCUUUUGAAGUAUCUUUUUUUUUUUUCCAGAUUUUUUGGUCUGUUUUGGAUCAUUUUUUGACUGUUUUUGUUCAGAUUUUUGAUAGUUGUGUUUCUUUUUUUUGACAGUUUUCGUUUAGGUUUUGUUUAAGUUUUUUAAUCAAGUUUUUUAUUCAUGUUUUUGCUUAUUUUGGCAUGGAGACUUUUAGUUUGAGUAAUAGUAAAUUCGCAUUUGAAAUUGAGUAAGUUGCUAAUACAUAGGUGGUUAGUAUGUAGUUAUUAAUGGAAGUUAAAAAGAUUUUGGUUGGUUUGUAGGAAUUAGUUUCUUAUAGUCAUGUUCCAGCAUCUAUUGAAGUCAUUGCGUCCAGUGGCAGAAUUGGAGGAAGAAAAGAUUGGAAGCUAAGGAAUAUUCCAAGAAUUUAGUUGCAAGUGCAACAUUCUCUGUUGAAAAUUUUAACCAUAAAGGGAAGGGGAAGUUACGAAUGCAAAGUAAAUUAAGUACUACUGGAAGAAUUGUGAAGGUCAAUAGAGAUAGUCUAUUGGCUUUCAGUGCUGAUUUGCACAAGUCUUGAAUUAUUUGGCCUUUCAUCAUAAUAUAUAUUGUUGUGGCUGUUGAGAGUGGGAAAACUGUUUUUCCCAUUCUCGUAGUUUCUAUUUGAUAUACUUUAGUUAGAUGCUCUUGUGAAAAGGGAUUAUAUACUUGUAUGUAUCCAAUCGGAAAUCUAGCAAAGGUUUAUAGAAUUUUCAUAUUUUCAUAUCUGCUAACUAUCUCAUAUUGAUGGUAUUUAAUGGCUAAAUAUCUCAUGAUGAUAAGAAAUCAUCCACUUCCAUCCAUCAGCUCUCCUUUUUAUCACACCAGCAGCCACGAAAAAACAGAUCUGUCCAUUAUUUCCAAAAUUGAAUCCGGUAUCUUCAAGGCAAAUAUGCACCCAAUCCUUUCAUAAGUGAGUUGGAGAGGAAGUUCUGCAGCCUGCAAUGAGGUAAAGAAAAUUUCAAGGAUUGAUGCACAUGAUACGAGAUAAUUAUUCCUUGGUUCUCAGUAGCCUAGAGUCACCCUCUAUUACUGUAAAAUGGCUAUGUUUCAAUUAUAAUGUAGUUGAUUGUACAAAAAAAAAAAAAAAAAAAAAAAGAGAUAAAAUGAUAAUUCAGGUAAUGUUGCAGAAAAAGUUAAAUCUCUUCAUGAUGACUUGGUACAGAUGAUGACACUGUAAGUUUCGCUACUUUGACAUUAUUCCUUUUGUUAAAUAUACUAAGUUCUUUUAUCUGAUAUGAUAGCUGUGUCAAAUAUAUUUCUCAGCAGUUGAAGAGCUCCUGAAUCAAGCGGAACAAGAUUACUAUAUUGGCUGAACUGUUUCAGGACAAAUAAUUCUUCAUGCGGUCUCAUGGUUUGCGGGCGAGCUGUUAAGGUGAUGAAUCUGAAGAUAGCAAAGAUAUUAUCGAGGAAGAUGAUGAUGACCAGAAUAAAGAGGAGGUGAUGGAAAAGAAGUUACCCAGAUUUAACAGAGCUCAGUUCAAAGUAACAUUAUAGGAAAAGAACGAUGGCGAUCAGACAAAGUCGAAUGGUUGUAAGUCGAAGGACAGAGGAACUGAAAAUGAUAGCCAUGGAGAUGGCAGCAGGAGGACUGAGGGACCAAUUGGGGCUGGUGGAAUUUGUAGAGAUCAUCUAGGUAAUUUGAUCAUGGCAUUCCAGCAAUCUCUGGGAACUGGUAGCAGCAAUCUGGCCGAGGCAAAGGCAGCUAUGAUAGGUCUUAAGUGGUGCAAGGAGUACGGUGUACCUUGGUUAUUACAAGAAGUUUUCAAUGAAAGUCGGAAGGUAAUCGAUGAAAGUAAUUGCAUCAUUCAACAUUGUUAUAGAGAAGGAAAUCAAGUGGUGGACGCAUUGGCAAAGGCAAGUUUGAUAAUACCAAACCAAGUUUCUAAUUCGGCGAAUGACUUGCCUAGCUAUGCUAAAGGUCCUUAAAGGCUUGACUGGAUAAUGAUGCCAUCUUUUAGACACAAGCACAAGAAGCACCAGUUUGUUUAAAUCAGUUGUUUAGUUUCCAGGUUGCCCCUCCUUAUACCCCUGUAUCUUUUUGUAUAUGUUUACCGGAGGGAACUUGGUUUUUAAUGUUAUUCCUUCUUAUGUAUAGCUGCUUCAUUGGGACUAUGGAUUCAUGGAAAUCCUGCAAGUUUGUACAUAAUUUUUGGUAAUGAUAUAAAGGGCCACGCCACCAUAUGGCGUAGUUGCAUUUAAAUAAAUAAAAAACGGUUUAGUUAUUCGUUCAAUCUAUAAGCUAUUUUGCAUUGUCUGAUCAGUAGUUGGAACUUGGAAGUUAAGUUUGUUUCUAGAGUGUAUUCUUCUUUCACCAUUUAUAUAUUAAUGGUUGACAGUAUUAAAUAUUCUGGUGAAUUGUUGGCAGCUAUUUGAGCUGGUUUUAGUUGAAUAUAAAAUUGUUUUCGUCUUGACAGGGGCAGCUUGAAUAGCAGCGGGAUCCUACCAAUUUGUUUGCAAAAUACCGACCUCAUGAGUGUCAUAGCGAACAAGUAAAGAAGGAAUGACCACACGAAGUCGUUAAAGGCGGGCAUCCGUCCAUCCAUCCUUCCAUCUGAACAAAGGCAUCCGAACUAAAGUAAUUUAAAUUACUCGAAAGAGAAGAGCAUUUGGUGGAUGUAAAUAUGCUUGUGAUCUGAGAUUUUGUGAGUUCGAGGGAAUAAAGGGAACAAAAUGGCAGAAAAUGGAGCAAAAAUGAUCAGAAUGCGGCGAAAAUGCGGCACUGGAAAGUGGAGAUGCGGUCGCAAGUUGUUUGCACAAAUCAACAGAGAGUUUACCAAAAUAUAGCAAGAUGCAAAGCAAUAUGCGGCACACAAACUCCAAUACUCGGUCAAAUACUCCAGCUCUGAGUAUCCAGUGAAUUAGACAAAGUGCACCAGAUUGCGGAGCACAUGAGACAUCGCAAACUGCAGAUGCGGUUGCAUACUCCUGUUGCGACCGCAUACUUGGUGCCGAAUGUCGUCAUUUAGGCAAUUCUUGUACUUAUUGUUCUCCCUCUAUAAAUACUAAUGCCUAGGUUUUUGUGGACAUCAUUGAAUAUUCUUAGAUAGACUUAUUGUUGUCUUUUAGCAUUUAGAGCAUUGAAUAGUGGUGGUUGAAGGUUUCAAAGAGAAUCUUUCACUUUUGUCAUCAACUUCCAUUAAUUAUUGGAAGCUUUAUGAAUAUUCUCUUUACCAUUGUUUUGUAUUUAAUGAACAUGAGUAGCUAAACCAUUUAGCUAAGGUUGUGGGAUCAAAUAUGUUAGUUAUGUGAU
This is an RNA transcript of Lycium barbarum (goji berry), 3399 nucleotides long. RefSeq lists it as uncharacterized. Lineage: Eukaryota; Viridiplantae; Streptophyta; Magnoliopsida; Solanales; Solanaceae. The record is from RefSeq and is a predicted model, not a curated record. The transcript is spliced from 6 exons.